Molecule: non-coding RNA, 290 nt
Organism: Paramuricea clavata
Lineage: Eukaryota; Metazoa; Cnidaria; Anthozoa; Malacalcyonacea; Plexauridae
Source: the annotation of a GenBank genome assembly
UCUGGCGGUAUCUGGAGUCAAAGACCUGCGCAUAAGGUCCUAGUGCCAGUUUUCUUCAACAGACACUGCGCGCGAGGCGAAUGGCCUAUAUAAAUCAUAACAAAUAGCGCAUAAUCAAACGAAAAGUGCCCUUCGAAUUAAGUAUUAUUUUCCCAUAAAAGUACAUUCAAAAAACGUCUAAAGGCUUAUUCUUUCCUAUACCGUAGGUAUCUGAACACAGAUAUAAUCGUAGAGCAAACGUAAGCGAAAAAACGUCAAAUUUGGGGGUGAUUUGUAUAGGCAAAAGUUGG